This 283-nucleotide unclassified non-coding RNA is filed under the name plant metagenome. RNAcentral describes it as "partial contains small subunit ribosomal RNA, internal transcribed spacer 1, and 5.8S ribosomal RNA". The stretch from base 235 to 283 matches the Rfam family "5.8S ribosomal RNA", at positions 1 to 49 of the family's 154-position model. The record is from RNAcentral.
UUUCCGUAGGUGAACCUGCGGAAGGAUCAUUAUUGUAUAACCGAGGUGCGAGGGCUGUCGCUGACCCGAAAGGUCGUGCACGCCCGAGUGCCCUCACACACAUCCAUCUCACCCCUAUGUGCACCACCGCGUGGGUCCCCCUUUGGCUUGUUCGGAGGGGGGCUUACGUUUUCACACAAACUUUGUAUGCAGUGUAGAAUGUAUUUUUUGUUUUUGCGAUCACGCAAUCAAUACAACUUUCAACAACGGAUCUCUUGGCUCUCGCAUCGAUGAAGUACGCAGC